RNAcentral lists this ribosomal RNA (252 nucleotides) under uncultured bacterium. Its description in RNAcentral is "partial 16S ribosomal RNA". It matches the Rfam family "Bacterial small subunit ribosomal RNA", at positions 524 to 776 of the family's 1533-position model. The record is from RNAcentral.
UACGGAGGAUGCGAGCGUUAUCCGGAUUUAUUGGGUUUAAAGGGUGCGCAGGCGGAUUUUUAAGUCAGCGGUCAAAUCGUGGGGCUCAACCCCAUCCAGCCGUUGAAACUGGGGACCUAGAGUGUGCGAGAGGUAUGCGGAAUGCGUGGUGUAGCGGUGAAAUGCAUAGAUAUCACGCAGAACCCCGAUUGCGAAGGCAGCAUACCGGUGCACAACUGACGCUCAGGCACGAAAGCGUGGGUAUCGAACAGG